GAGUANUGCCUAGGGAACUGCCCAGUCGAGGGGGAUAACAGUUGGAAACGACUGCUAAUACCGCAUACGCCCUACGGGGGAAAGGAGGGGCUCUUCGGACCUUUCGCGAUUGGAUGUACCUAGGUGGGAUUAGCUUGUUGGUGAGGUAANAGCUCACCAAGGCGACGAUCCCUAGCUGUUCUGAGAGGAUGAUCAGCCACACUGGGACUGAGACACGGCCCAGACUCCUACGGGAGGCAGCAGUGGGGAAUAUUGCACAAUGGGCGAAAGCCUGAUGCAGCCAUGCCGCGUGUGUGAAGAAGGCCUUCGGGUUGUAAAGCACUUUCAGCGAGGAGGAAAGGUUAACGGUUAAUACCCGUUAGCUGUGACGUUACUCGCAGAAGAAGCACCGGCUAACUUCGUGCCAGCAGCCGCGGUAAUACGAGGGGUGCAAGCGUUAAUCGGAAUUACUGGGCGUAAAGCGUACGCAGGCGGUUUGUUAAGCGAGAUGUGAAAGCCCCGGGCUCAACCUGGGAACUGCAUUUCGAACUGGCAAACUAGAGUCUUGUAGAGGGGGGUAGAAUUUCAGGUGUAGCGGUGAAAUGCGUAGAGAUCUGAAGGAAUACCGGUGGCGAAGGCGGCCCCCUGGACAAAGACUGACGCUCANGUACGAAAGCGUGGGGAGCAAACAGGAUUAGAUACC
RNAcentral lists this ribosomal RNA (682 nucleotides) under Shewanella sp. KR07-30. Its description in RNAcentral is "bacterial SSU rRNA". It matches the Rfam family "Bacterial small subunit ribosomal RNA", at positions 108 to 786 of the family's 1533-position model. Lineage: Bacteria; Pseudomonadati; Pseudomonadota; Gammaproteobacteria; Alteromonadales; Shewanellaceae. The record is from RNAcentral.